AGUGAACGCUGGCGGUAGGCCUAACACAUGCAAGUCGAACGGCAGCACAGUAAGAGCUUGCUCUUACGGGUGGCGAGUGGCGGACGGGUGAGGAAUACAUCGGAAUCUACUUUUUCGUGGGGGAUAACGUAGGGAAACUUACGCUAAUACCGCAUACGACCUACGGGUGAAAGCAGGGGAUCUUCGGACCUUGCGCGAUUGAAUGAGCCGAUGUCGGAUUAGCUAGUUGGCGGGGUAAAGGCCCACCAAGGCGACGAUCCGUAGCUGGUCUGAGAGGAUGAUCAGCCACACUGGAACUGAGACACGGUCCAGACUCCUACGGGAGGCAGCAGUGGGGAAUAUUGGACAAUGGGCGCAAGCCUGAUCCAGCCAUACCGCGUGAGUGAAGAAGGCCUUCGGGUUGUAAAGCCCUUUUGUUGGGAAAGAAAAGCAGUGUGUUAAUCCGCCGCUAUUCUGACGGUACCCAAAGAAUAAGCACCGGCUAACUUCGUG
RNAcentral lists this ribosomal RNA (492 nucleotides) under uncultured bacterium. RNAcentral describes it as "partial 16S ribosomal RNA". It matches the Rfam family "Bacterial small subunit ribosomal RNA", at positions 29 to 507 of the family's 1533-position model. The record is from RNAcentral.